GUAGUAGCACGUAUUUGUUUUUGUACCUUUUUUUUUUUUUUUUUUCUCCUCUUUAUCCUCCCUAUAUUUUUAUGUUUAAAAGUAAUUCAUAUACUUUAACAAAUGUAUAAUAAAUUGAUAAUUCAUUAUAAGCUUCUUCACUAUUACUUUCAACUUGUUGCUUACUUUCAACUUGUUGCUUACUUUCAACUUGUUGCUAACUUCUUUUUGCUUGCUUGCUUCUUCUUCUUCUUUUUUUUUUUUUUUUUUUUCUUUUUUUUUUUUUUUUUUUUUUUUUUUUUUUCUUCAUUUAACGUUAACAUGAGCAAAACAUGUAUGGAGAAAAUUUGAGCUUAACGUAUACAUAUAUAUAUAAUAUAUAUAUCACAUUUUUUUUUUAUGCAUAUAAUAUAUAACCAACCGGCAAUUAUUUUAUUUUUUUUAUUUUUCUAUUUUAAGAAAUCAACAAAUGUUGAUACUUAUAUUUUAAUUGUUCAUGCAUACACGUCUUCAUACGCAAAAAUAAUAAUAUAUAUAUACACUUGAAUUAAUUGAAAAAAAAAAUAUAUCUUGUCUAUAUUUAAAUGAAUUAAAAAAAAAAAAAAUUUUUUGUACAUAUUCAGUGUUAUUCACUCAAAACAUACACUACAAACGGAAUAAUCAAGUUUUUUAUCAUUUUAUUUUUUAAUUUUAUGUGUUUACUUUUUUUAAUGGUGAUAAACAAAAGUAGGUAGUUGAGGUGUAUAAAUUUUAUGGAAAAACAAAAUUUUACUAUUACGUUGAUAUAUAUAUAUAUAAAUAUAUAUAUAAAUAUGUAUAUACAUACACUUAUUUCAUAUGACCAUUAAUGUAUUAUUAAUCAAAUACAGGUGAAGUAUUUUCAACACCUAUUAUACACUUUCAAAAAGAGUUUUUUCAAAAAGAGUUUUUUCAAAAAGAGUUUUUNNNNNNNNNNUUCAAAAAGAGUUUUUUCAAAAAGAGUUUUUUCAAAAAGAGUUUUUUUCAAAAAGGCUUUUUUUAAAGGAGUUUUUUUAAAAGGGGGGUUUUAAAAAAGGGCUUAAAAAAAAAAAUAAAUAAAAAAAAAAAAAAAAGUUUACUAAUAAC
RNAcentral lists this long non-coding RNA (1083 nucleotides) under Piliocolobus tephrosceles (Ugandan red Colobus). RNAcentral describes it as "lncRNA (ENSPTEG00000012839.1)". Lineage: Eukaryota; Metazoa; Chordata; Mammalia; Primates; Cercopithecidae. The record is from RNAcentral.